Hyposmocoma kahamanoa is the source of this 6600-nucleotide RNA transcript. It is a transcript of the gene named ubiquitin carboxyl-terminal hydrolase 2-like, with no coding region annotated. Lineage: Eukaryota; Metazoa; Arthropoda; Insecta; Lepidoptera; Cosmopterigidae. The transcript has 15 exons. The record is from RefSeq and is a predicted model, not a curated record.
UCGCCGUAUACGCUCCAUUUUCUUAUAUUAAUUAAUCGAAAGUGCCGAGAAAAGUGUACGCCGCGUGUGUUUUAACAAAAAACUUAGAAGACGAAUUUGUGAAGUGCAAAAAACUACCAAAUUAUCUCGAAGUCUCUAUAGUUACGGAUAAUUUUUAAAUAUUUUAUCCCGAGGAUGCAAAGGCGACGGCCGCGUCUAAAGUUGUCUAUAGACUAAGUGAUGUAAUUUCAACAUAAGAAAAACAACAAAUGAUCACAAUGCCUGUGGUGUCACCGUCUCGCUACAACUCUGCUUCCAGCAGCCACUCCGGGUCGUACCGGUCCACACUAACCUCAACCUCAAGCCUGGACAAGCCGUAUUACCGAACAACCGGUGGUACUUACGUGACCUCAACCUUCAGAACUUCACUCGGUGAUCGUACUACAGAAUACCGGUCGAGAUUCUCGGACAUAGAUGGCAAAAAGGAACGCAAUACUAGUCUUGUAGAGUAUACGAGAACGUCCAGAGCACCGAGUGUGACCGACUCUGAUAGCGGUAUCUCUACGAGAUAUCGGUCAGAACGGUCAGAGUCACGGUCUCGGGAUAUAUCAACGACCAGGAGUGAAAGCAGUAAGACUACUAGUGAUCCCUUGCCGAGGAAUAAGAGAAAUGUUCUCAGUUCUGCGUCUCUUGCUAUGUCGACGGCGGAUUUGUAUAAUAAAUACUCACCUGCUAAUUACAUACCACUGACACAGAGAAUCCAGCAGCAGCAACAGCAAGCAAAUCAGAACUCUUAUGGGGAAAUUUCAAGGUCGAAAUCAAUUUCCAAUGACAUCGGUAGACCCCCUGCGUCGGAUUCUUCCAGAUUAAGAAAAGCUAGAAACUCAACAGCGGCGACAAUAAUCGAGAGAACCGGAAGAUGCAAGGAAUCACCAUCACCCCACAAAAGAACAUCUAUGACUAACGGAAUAAAGGACAGUAAUGGAAAUGAGGUACCUUCGGUAUCGGAUUUGAGAAAACGCUUCGAUCAAAAAAUGACUGUAACGAAACUCCCUGCUAACGAACCUAAAUAUGGAACUAAAGCUGUCGAACAUUAUCUAAGUCAACUUAAAGAGUGCGAGAAUGGUAUAGGGUACACCAAAGUUGUUCAAGACGAGAAACCGGUCCCUAUACAUUUGCCUUUUGAAAGGAACGGUAUCGCCAAAUGGGACGGGAGUAGCAGUUCCAAAUCAAACUCCAACUCUGAUCUUUCUAUUAGUAAGACCAUCUCUGAACCCGUCUCUUUAGCUAAACCUUUAACGGACAAAAACAACACCAUGUCAACGUCGUUGACCAGUAAGCUGCCGUCGGAACGUUUGGCAAGUAUAAAAAGUCAACUAGACCCUAACAAUCCUAUAGGAAAAAUUCUCGAAAAAUCUACAGUUAUACAGGUUGAAAACGGUGAAGUAACUAAGAACAGCAGUCCUGAUAUUUCUAAGAAAGAAACGUUGAGAAAUGAUAUUGAGAAACAAGUCAAAACUCCGAAACAUACGUCUAAUUUUGCUUCUUACAUUCAGAUAUCUCAACCAGUAUCAUCUAAGACCAACGGUGAAGAAAGAAAUGAUAAAACGGAGAGAGAUAAGUCAGAUAGAGAUAGAAAUGACAAGUUAGAAAGAAAGAAAGUUAAUCUCAAAUAUAUAGACACAGAAGAUAGUUUAGUUCUUGAUAAUAAUGAUAUAGAAUCUCCUUGUGGUACAGGAUUUGAGAAUAAGACUUUUGAACAUGAAAAUUUCUUAAAGAAAAGAUCAGAACACCGUGAAAUAGAAGAGAACCAAGAUGAUGGAGCCAAAAGUAUGGAGACCAGUACUGAAAGUACAUUGAGCGAAGAAGACUCGAGUCCUGACACUCCUUCCUCUAGAAGAAAGGUCCUCGAUGAUAAGGAGAUCGAAGAUAUCAAAGCGGAAUUGGCGGGUGGUAAGAGUGGGGCCGUGGCAGGGCGGCGCAGCAGCGAGCGCUCCGACGCCAGCACCGACUCUCGCAUCGACCGGAAGCCCAGUCACACCAGCGGCCUGAACGGCCUCCGCAACAUCGGCAACACCUGUUUCAUGAACAGCGUCCUGCAGUGCCUCUCCAACACGCGACCUCUGCUCGAAUACGUGUCCGAGGACAAGUACACCUCCGAGAUCAACACCACGCUGUCUUGCAUGAAAGGCGCACUCAUCAAAGCGUUCGCCAGCGUGGUGAAGGAGCUGUGGCGCGGCGGCGAGCGCGACGCCGUCGUCAACACCACGUCGCUCAAGGCGCAGGUGCAGCGCUUCGCGCCGCGCUUCAUGGGCUACUCGCAGCAGGACGCGCAGGAGUUCCUGCGCUACCUGCUGGAGGGCCUGCACGAGGACGUCAACCGCGUCACCGCCAAGCCCAAGCCGAUCCUCGCCGAAAUCGACGACGGCCUCAGUGAUUCGGCGAAAGCCGCGGAAGCGUGGAGCCGCUACCUCCGCAUGGAGGACAGCCGCGUCGGCGACAUUUUCGUCGGACAACUCAAGAGCACCUUGCGCUGUACGCACUGCAAUCACGAUUCUGUCACUUUCGACCCCUUCUGGGAUCUUAGCUUGCCAAUACCAUCCCGCACGGGGAACCUGAAGCUGCAGCAGUGCCUGGCGCACUUCACGCGCGAGGAGGAGAUGGACGGAGAUGAAAAACCUACGUGCAGCAAGUGCGGCGUGCGGCGCAAGUGCCUGAAGUGGUUCACGGUGCACAAGUUCCCGCAGGUGCUGGUGCUGCACCUCAAGCGCUUCUCCCCGACGGAGCGCUUCCGCGGCAAGCUCAACGUGCUGGUGGAGUUCCCGCUGACGGGCCUGGACAUGUCGCCCUACGCCGCCGCGCGCCAAGCCAGUCCCGUCUACAACCUCUACGCCGUCAGCAACCACUCGGGCACCACGUACUCCGGCCACUACACGGCGUACUGCAAGCACCCGUACACCGGCGACUGGCACGAGUACAACGACUCCAGGGUGACCCCCAUCUCGCCGCGCAACGUGGUGUCGUCGGAGGCCUACGUGCUGUUCUACGAGCUGGCGAGGGGCUCGCACUCGUAGCGGGCCCGCGGCCCAAGAACCCGCCUGUCGCGAAGCCGCGCAGCUGCUCUCCGCCAGUGCGUGUAGGAUAUAGGUUAUUCGGGCUUGCAUCACGUUACUUUGUCGUCGCAUCCCACGGCGGGACACGGGUCUCCACUAUAAAAGGCUAAAUAUAAAUACAUAAUUAUUUAACACCUCGAUAUAUUUACUCAAUAGAUAGAGAUUUAUUUACAAAAGAACAUUGUGUCAAUUCUAUUAAACAUAUUUUGUAGAACUGAACUAAAAUCUGUCAGGUCUAAAAUUGCUUGACAUGUUACAGUCCACUGGUGGACAUGACCAGUAUUAUACGAAUAUUAUUAAACGAACUAACAAUUGACAUCUUAUUUUUUCAUAGUGAGAAAAGUUUUUCUAAAUAUGUAUAACAGAAUUGCUCAUUAAUAUAUAAAAUUAAAAAAGUCAUUUAUGAACAAAACUAAGUAUAACAAGAGUCUAUGCAAUUUGAUUAUUAUUGUUAUUUACUUAAAUUAUUUUUGCGUAUCAUUUAAUAAUUUAUAAUUUUGUGGCCAUCGUACGCUGUUAUUGUUUAAUUUUGUAAUUUUUCGAUUUAACUCAAAAAAAGGUAAAAUGCGAUAUUUUUUACUUACUUAGGACUCUGAACACGGGCCCCUAUGUGUGAAUCUCUGUAUUAGUCCAAAUUUCGAAUAAAUAGAAAACCUGUCAAGUUCUUGAGAAGUGACAAACGUGCACCGUCCAUGUCUGUUACAGAAAGAAAUACGAUAGGCCAAAUUAAAUGAAAGCGAGGCCCGAAACGCUGACAGCAUUCCCCCUCUGUAUGACUUCGCUCAUACAUUGGGCAAGGUACGGCAAAGCACCACUUUGAAUCGUGUGUGUAAGUGGCAUUAAGUUGAUUUAAAUCGUAAGUGAAAAGGGAGAUGUGCCUGUGGGCGUUCUAACGUAACAGGUGUAUUUGCCUCGUGCCUUUUGUGAUAGCUAUUGUGAAACUUUUAAAAUGUUAAUGUAUGUGUCAUAACGGCGAGGGAACGUACGUCCAUGUGAAAAAGCAUUAACCUCUCUUUGCCAUCGCCGUAGUUGAGGAAAUAUGUGCCAGUUGUCGAUAUUUUUACCCGUUUAUGAGUUUUAAAAUAAAUGACAAAAUUAAACAACUAUUUUAAACUAAUAAAUUAAUAUUGUUAAUACGUUUCUAAGUUCUAGGUAGGCUGAAUGUGUUUAAGAAUUAGCGGGUUAAGCAGUCUAUGCAUUUUUUUAACGUCGUUGAGUAAAACUAGACAUUCACGAUGCGAUUUGCAGGAUGAUAUUAGUCGUGAGCAUUUACAUAGAGCUGCUCACGUCAAUCUUGUAAAGGGUUACAAAUAACAAGAACGUGUUAGAAAUCGCGAGUAGCGCCACCAGUUUACAAAAGUCGCUUAUUAGUUUUUAUAAUUAUAAAUGGCGAUGUGUGUUAUAGAAAAUGUAAUCGCAUCGUGUAUGGCGAUCAUUAUAUUUAUUGUUACGACUGCACCGCUAGUGUAUGGCUUGCAUUAAGUAUUCCUUGCAUCACAUUGUUUUGUUUCACUAUUGUAUUUACUUAAUAGAGAAACGUUUUAUUUUUAAACAAUAAUGUUGUGUGGAAAGUAUUGAAAGGAAGUUACAUUUUCGUGUAUCGCAAGAGAAGUCAUGAUAGCCGUUGCAACUUAUUGUAAUACAUACACACAUCACGCCCACGCCCGUCUCCCGACGACGAGGGCAGAGCCUGCGAACCUUCACGAGAUACGCUCCCUACAUUCGCGUCACCUUUCGAAAAUACUCAUCUGUUUCUGCCCCUGCACUCUCGUUCUUCGUCGCGGCGCUCCAGGGCGAGCCGAGUUGUCUUCGACUUAUCCCUGCAGCUGAUUAUAAGUGGGAAAUCGUUGGCAAAUGUCAGCACUCGGGUGCAUCCCAGUUUCGUGAAGGCGGCCCACCUUCUACUCGGCGAUGUGCUGCUUUCGGGCAUUUCGAACGCUAUCAUUUCCCUUACUGUAUCACUAUUCUUCAUGAUGCAGUGGUUGCGGGCAAAGAAGAAAAUUGUAAGGCUAGAAGAAAACUUAAACAAAAAAGAAAUUUAAAGACAAAUUGCAUUUCUUUUUUUUUGUUUAAUAUUCUUUUCUUGCGACACAUAAAAAUGUCAACGUUUGGUGGGAGUUAUUCGGAAAUGGUAAAAGCAUUACUAAAUCGAUAGUAACGGAUAUUUACCAUUGAGCAAAUUCUUUAUGAAAACUUUCAAGUUAUUUUAAUGAUUUUUGCCCUCGUUUGUUGCGGGGAUUUGGCGAACGCCUCACCCGACGUUUUUGAUGUAAUAUGUCGGGACGUCAGUUGACAUAUCGGCUAGCGUAUCAUUCACUGUGAACAAAUCACGACUGCACGUUCGCUAGUAAAUGAUGACGAUGACGCCUUAAACAACUAAUUUUUACAUUUCAGGGAUCAUUAAAUAAUGUCUACUUUUUCUUUUAUGAAAGAUUAAGAUCCCAUUGUUGUUGGUUCUUUAAUCGAAAUUGAAAGUGAAUAAUAAUAAUAUUUUCAGUAAAAUAAUUGUAAAUUGAUAAUUCAAACCAACUCGAAAUACGGUCUCGAUGUAAUCAUAUUUUGACCAAAAAAGAAGUAAUAAAAUAAAUUUAUUAAUUAAUAAAACUAUGGGGUCACUUUUGAAAUUUUGUUUCGUGGACCGGAUGAAAAUUUCAACACGUAAAGCUACCUCUGGCUUUGCGAUAAUCAAAAUCAAACUAGAUGUGGACUAUGCGGCUUGUUGUUACGAAAUUUCAUAAGGUCGCCCCCUGUAUUAUAAAUAAAUAAAUGUAGAUAUUAUCAUAACUAUAACGCCUUUGGGUAUGCACGCUGUGUGUUGUUCCCUUAUGUGCGGCAAACAGGAGUAUAUAACAAUGUUAAACGCCUGUAGUGAUAUUAUGUCUAUUGAAUGUUCUAUGACUAAUUUACAUGAAGUGACCAAAGUCCAACACGGGGCUUUAAGUGCAAUAGCCCAGCGCCGUGUGUAGACUCGAAAUAGGGAAGAUGUGUUAAAAUAUUUACCUCUAGCGGUUGAAUUGGCGGUCGCUGUUAACAGAUACGUUGACGUGGUGCUCAUCUAUGGAUUAUUAUCUCCAAGUAAUCCGUCGAUGCAUUCCGCGACACCCACAUUUAUUCAUCGUGGUAAGAUUAGCCGCCACGCGAAUGUCAUGUCAUGUAACCUUGCCAUAGACAAUAUUUUUAAUUAUGACUUCAAAACAACACAAAAUAUUACUAAAAUUGCCUACAAAAAGGGUUUUAUAAACUUCUGUCUGCCAUUUUAUAAAGUAAUAUAUGUUUUCACACGGCGCGGCUUUCGACUCGGCGCGCGACUCCGUCCACUCUAGCCUGAGCGCUCGUAGUUGAGAUAUUGAAAAAUUUGUUCUCUCUCCCUCUCUCGUACACAUUGCUUAAUUAAAACGUGUUAGAAAGGGAUGUAGUGUUUAAGAUUCUUUUCUGAUGUUAGGCGUGGAAGAAAUCUAAAGUUGACGGUUAUGUCGUCGUUAUAGUACACGUCUCGCAGCCGAACUCG